RNAcentral lists this ribosomal RNA (467 nucleotides) under uncultured bacterium. RNAcentral describes it as "partial 16S ribosomal RNA". It matches the Rfam family "Bacterial small subunit ribosomal RNA", at positions 28 to 507 of the family's 1533-position model. The record is from RNAcentral.
GACGAACGCUGGCGGCGUGCUUAACACAUGCAAGUCGAACGGAAAGGCCCUGCUUUUGUGGGGUGCUCGAGUGGCGAACGGGUGAGUAACACGUGAGUAACCUGCCCUUGACUUUGGGAUAACUUCAGGAAACUGGGGCUAAUACCGGAUAGGAGCUCCUGCUGCAUGGUGGGGUUGGAAAGUUUCGGCGGUUGGGGAUGGACUCGCGGCUUAUCAGCUUGUUGGUGGGGUAGUGGCUUACCAAGGCUUUGACGGGUAGCCGGCCUGAGAGGGUGACCGGCCACAUUGGGCCUGAGAUACGGCCCAGACUCCUACGGGAGGCAGCAGUGGGGAAUAUUGCACAAUGGGCGGAAGCCUGAUGCAGCAACGCCGCGUGCGGGAUGACGGCCUUCGGGUUGUAAACCGCUUUCGCCUGUGACGAAGCGUGAGUGACGGUAAUGGGUAAAGAAGCACCGGCUAACUACGUG